GGUCCCUUUUUCAGCUACACCAGCAAGUCUUCGGGCACAGCAGGGAGCUGUGGAGCGGGAGAAAAUGAACAUGGGAUUUGGUGUGUGAACAGCUCAUGGGGAAUGCGUAGAAGAAAAGGUUGUGUUGGGAGUAAAUGUUGACCUCUGCAAAGCUGAGGAAUGUCCAGGUUUUUGCUGCGAUACUGAACCUCUUUCUCUUUAGGCUAAUCUGUUUAGCUUGAAUCCAUGUGGGUAACUAUGUGCAUGUUUAGCAGGUGGAUGGAGCUGACUCAAGGAGAAAGCUGAGCAGCCUUGGAUACUGAGCUCUGAUUGGUGAGUCUAGAGCUCCAGUGUCCAUCCAGGCCAUUCCACCGGGGGAGCACUGGGAUCCGAAUUGGAGGGCAGUUCAUCUGAACAUGGGGACCAAACUUGUUUCAGAAGUGGCUCACCCUGCUUAUCCAGAACAGCAUCUGCCUCAACACACACAGAGGGGAUCCCACCUCACCCAACUACAAUAUGGGAACCACAGAACCCAGACCAUCAUUAUCCCAGCUCUGCAGCCAUCUGACUUCCGCAGCGCCAGGACAGCAUCGAUUCCA
Long non-coding RNA from Melopsittacus undulatus (budgerigar), 578 nucleotides. RefSeq lists it as uncharacterized. The record is from RefSeq and is a predicted model, not a curated record. The transcript is spliced from 3 exons. Lineage: Eukaryota; Metazoa; Chordata; Aves; Psittaciformes; Psittaculidae.